UGGAAGUAAAAAGUCGUAACAAGGUCUCCGUUGGUGAACCAGCGGAGGGAUCAUUACCGAGUUAUACAACUCAUCAACCCUGUGAACAUACCUAAACGUUGCCUCGGCGGGAACAGACGGCCCCGUGAAAACGGGCCGCCCCCGCCAGAGGACCCCCUAACUCUGUUUCUAUAAUGUUUCUUCUGAGUAAAACAAGCAAAUAAAUUAAAACUUUCAACAACGGAUCUCUUGGCUCUGGCAUCGAUGAAGAACGCAGCGAAAUGCGAUAAGUAAUGUGAAUUGCAGAAUUCAGUGAAUCAUCGAAUCUUUGAACGCACAUUGCGCCCGCCAGUAUUCUGGCGGGCAUGCCUGUUCGAGCGUCAUUACAACCCUCAGGCCCCCGGGCCUGGCGUUGGGGAUCGGCGGAGGCCCUCCGUGGGCACACGCCGUCCCCCAAAUACAGUGGCGGUCCCGCCGCAGCUUCCAUCGCGUAGUAGCUAACACCUCGCGACUGGAGAGCGGCGCGGCCACGCCGUAAAACCCCCAACUCUUCUGAAGUUGACCUCGAAUCAGGUAGGAAUACCCGCUGAACUUAAGCAUAUCAAUAA
RNAcentral lists this unclassified non-coding RNA (587 nucleotides) under Fusarium metavorans. RNAcentral's name for it is "sequence contains 18S rRNA gene, ITS1, 5.8S rRNA gene, ITS2, 28S rRNA gene". The stretch from base 209 to 362 matches the Rfam family "5.8S ribosomal RNA". Lineage: Eukaryota; Fungi; Ascomycota; Sordariomycetes; Hypocreales; Nectriaceae. The record is from RNAcentral.